GUGUAUUAUAAGAUUUCUUUACAUUCAAUUUGUCUUCCAUGAUAAAUAAACUGGUGAUAGGAACUAUUCAAGCUGUCUAGUUUCUGACAAAGUAGAAAAUAUUCUUUCCCCUUGCAAUCUCUAUGAUCCGUAUAAAUUUCAGUAGCGAACUCAAACAAGCGACGUUUUUGCAGUGUGACCAGACUUUUUCAGCAGUCAUUACCAAAAUUUUGUUCAAAUUUUACUAAAUUAAGGAAAAAUUUACCAAAUGUCGGCUUCCCAAAUAAUUACGUCAUGAUAAUGCCAAAAAACAAUAGUUACGUCAUCAAAGUAGAAAAAAUAUUCACAAAAAGUGUCAUCGUAUUGCAGUUUUUGCUAAUGAUAAGGCUUUAUUUCUUAGGCUUGGCAAUUCUGUUAAUCACUUUGAGCACGUUAUUAAACAAAAAACACACAUUUUUACCAACUAUUUUUAAUAAUUCAAACCUUUCAGAUUUUACCAAAAGAAACUCAUUACCAAAUUUUUUUGAAAAUUCACGAAAUUUUACCAAAAGUAGGACUUUUUACCAAAUCUGGUCACACUGCGUUUUUGUCAACACGGACACAGAAUAGGAAGUCCCUUUGCCACCUGCGCUCCUUCGCCCAGCGGCUACGCUCGUGUUCCAAGAUCCGCCAUGUAAAGUGUAGUGAAAUGUAUCUCAUCGUAAUAUUAAAUCCUAAGAAAACUAAAGCCUCUGCGGCGGAGAGAGAUAGGAAGUUAUAGCAGAAGCGUAACUCUAGUCGUUUCCCUUAUUGUUUGACGUCCACGAAAAGUUUAACUCGCUCACGCCAAUCCACGUCAUCCUGGCUAGUACAACCGGAAGUUUUUAUCAGGUUUUGGUAGGUACAAAGUGCCGGUUGUACUAGCCAGGAUGGCGUGAUUGAUGACGAAUCGCUUGUAAAAACGCGGACAAAUACUUGCUUGAGUUACGCUUCUGCUAUACCUUCCUAUUCUGUGACACGGACGUCAGAUUGCCGAGCGGGGACUGGAUUAAAAACUGUGUUUGUAUCAGUUUGUGGUAAUCUUCAACACAUGUGACCGUAGACAGAGUCAAGCCCCGUUUACACUACGCUCAAUUUUUGGUACGGCACGGAUAGAAUUGGUACCCGUACCACUUUUUUGGUUCUUGGACUACCUAUUUAGCUAAGCCCCGUUUACACUACGCUCAAUUUUUGGUACCGUACCACUUUUUGGUUCUUGGACUACCUAAAUAGGCAGUCCCAGAACCAAAAAAGUGGUACGGGUACCAAUUUUAUCCGUGCCGUACCAAAAAUUGAGCGUAAUGUAAACGGGGCUUCAGUCAAGAUAUGAUGGUCUGGAAACCCGGCAAACUUCAAAGCUACAAAAUAGAAGACCUUUGUUUGAUGUUGAACUAUAUCUCACCAUGCACAAAUCCUUUGUCUCAACUUCAUUAAAUAUUCAUUGUGGUUGCACGUUUCAUCUCAGCUAUCCCUUUUGAAUGAUUACUUCAUUAUACGAAAAUACAAUGAGCUCAAUCACCGUGACUGUGCACAAAUUAACAUAAACUCCGACAAAAACAUAAUACAAUGACUUGUGUUUAGUUUCCAGACCAUCCUAUCUUGAUAGACUAUGAUCUGAUAAAAUGCAAGAUUUUUGAAGUUUUUUGCUUCCUUAACCGAGCGCUAUGAUGCAAAAUGCCUCCAAAAUUAGCAUACCAAUUUUCGGAUGACGGUCCAUGUUGACAAAAACAUCGCUUGCUAAGGCGCAUUUCAGCCCUGUUAAA
This 1760-nucleotide long non-coding RNA is filed under the name Paramuricea clavata. The record is from RNAcentral. Lineage: Eukaryota; Metazoa; Cnidaria; Anthozoa; Malacalcyonacea; Plexauridae.